GUCGAGGGGUAUAUGUCUUCGGAUAUAGAGACCGGCGCACGGGUGCGUAACGCGUAUGCAAUCUACCUUUUACAGAGGGAUAGCCCAGAGAAAUUUGGAUUAAUACCUCAUAGUAUUAUUGAGUGGCAUCACUUAAUAAUUAAAGUCACAACGGUAAAAGAUGAGCAUGCGUCCCAUUAGCUAGUUGGUAAGGUAACGGCUUACCAAGGCAACGAUGGGUAGGGGUCCUGAGAGGGAGAUCCCCCACACUGGUACUGAGACACGGACCAGACUCCUACGGGAGGCAGCAGUGAGGAAUAUUGGACAAUGGGCGCAAGCCUGAUCCAGCCAUGCCGCGUGCAGGAUGACGGUCCUAUGGAUUGUAAACUGCUUUUGUACGAGAAGAAACACUGCUUCGUGAAGCAGCUUGACGGUAUCGUAAGAAUAAGGAUCGGCUAACUCCGUGCCAGCAGCCGCGGUAAUACGGAGGAUCCAAGCGUUAUCCGGAAUCAUUGGGUUUAAAGGGUCCGUAGGCGGUUUAGUAAGUCAGUGGUGAAAGCCCAUCGCUCAACGGUGGAACGGCCAUUGAUACUGCUGAACUUGAAUUAUUAGGAAGUAACUAGAAUAUGUAGUGUAGCGGUGAAAUGCUUAGAGAUUACAUGGAAUACCAAUUGCGAAGGCAGGUUACUACUAAUUGAUUGACGCUGAUGG
RNAcentral lists this ribosomal RNA (690 nucleotides) under Flavobacterium oncorhynchi. RNAcentral's name for it is "bacterial SSU rRNA". It matches the Rfam family "Bacterial small subunit ribosomal RNA", at positions 61 to 752 of the family's 1533-position model. The record is from RNAcentral. Lineage: Bacteria; Pseudomonadati; Bacteroidota; Flavobacteriia; Flavobacteriales; Flavobacteriaceae.